This 417-nucleotide ribosomal RNA is filed under the name Escherichia coli. Its description in RNAcentral is "bacterial SSU rRNA". It matches the Rfam family "Bacterial small subunit ribosomal RNA", at positions 43 to 458 of the family's 1533-position model. Lineage: Bacteria; Pseudomonadati; Pseudomonadota; Gammaproteobacteria; Enterobacterales; Enterobacteriaceae. The record is from RNAcentral.
CAGGCCUAACACAUGCAAGUCGAACGGUAACAGGAAUAAGCUUGCUUCUUCGCUGACGAGUGGCGGACGGGUGAGUAAUGUCUGGGAAACUGCCUGAUGGAGGGGGAUAACUACUGGAAACGGUAGCUAAUACCGCAUAACGUCGCAAGACCAAAGAGGGGGACCUUCGGGCCUCUUGCCAUCGGAUGUGCCCAGAUGGGAUUAGCUAGUAGGUGGGGUAAAGGCUCACCUAGGCGACGAUCCCUAGCUGGUCUGAGAGGAUGACCAGCCACACUGGAACUGAGACACGGUCCAGACUCCUACGGGAGGCAGCAGUGGGGAAUAUUGCACAAUGGCCGCAAGCCUGAUCAACCCUUGCCGCGGGUAUGAAAAGGCCUUCGGGUGUAAAGUACUUUCAGCGGGGAGAGAGGGAAUAAA